CCUACGGGAGGCAGCAGUGAGGAAUAUUGGUCAAUGGACGAGAGUCUGAACCAGCCAAGUAGCGUGAAGGAUGACUGCCCUAUGGGUUGUAAACUUCUUUUAUAUGGGAAUAAAACGUUCCACGUGUGGGAUUUUGUAUGUACCAUAUGCAUAAGGAUCGGCUAACUCCGUGCCAGCAGCCGCGGUAAUACGGAGGAUCCGAGCGUUAUCCGGAUUUAUUGGGUUUAAAGGGAGCGUAGGUGGAUUGUUAAGUCAGUUGUGAAAGUUUGCGGCUCAACCGUAGAAUUGCAGUUGAAACUGGCAGUCUUGAGUACAGUAGAGGUGGGCGGAAUGCGUGGUGUAGCGGUGAAAUGCUUAGAUAUCACGAAGAACUCCGAUUGCGAAGGCAGUUCACUGGACUGCAACUGACACUGAGGCUCGAAAGUGUGGGUAUCAAACAGGAUUAGAUACCCCUGUAGUC
This 460-nucleotide ribosomal RNA is filed under the name uncultured bacterium. RNAcentral's name for it is "partial 16S ribosomal RNA". It matches the Rfam family "Bacterial small subunit ribosomal RNA", at positions 338 to 795 of the family's 1533-position model. The record is from RNAcentral.